UACGUAGGGGGCAAGCGUUAUCCGGAUUUACUGGGUGUAAAGGGGGCGCAGACGGCGAUGCAAGCCAGGAGUGAAAGCCCGGGGCCCAACCCCGGGACUGCUCUUGGAACUGCGUGGCUGGAGUGCAGGAGGGGCAGGCGGAAUUCCUGGUGUAGCGGUGAAAUGCGUAGAUAUCAGGAGGAACGCCAGUGGCGAAGGCGGUCUGCUGGACAGCAACUGACGCUGAGGCGCGAAAGCGUGGGGAGCAAACAGG
Molecule: ribosomal RNA, 253 nt
Filed under: uncultured bacterium
Lineage: Bacteria
Description: partial 16S ribosomal RNA
Rfam family: Bacterial small subunit ribosomal RNA
Source: RNAcentral